UACGGAAGGCAGCAGUGGGGAAUAUUGCACAAUGGGCGCAAGCCUGAUGCAGCCAUGCCGCGUGUAUGAAGAAGGCCUUCGGGUUGUAAAGUACUUUCAGCCGUGAGGAAGGUGUUAAGGUUAAUAACCUUAGCAAUUGACGUUAGCGACAGAAGAAGCACCGGCUAACUCCGUGCCAGCAGCCGCGGUAAUACGGAGGGUGCGAGCGUUAAUCGGAAUUACUGGGCGUAAAGGGCACGCAGGCGGUUAAUUAAGUUGGAUGUGAAAUCCCCGGGCUUAACCUGGGAAUGGCAUUCAAGACUGGUUAGCUAGAGUCUUGUAGAGGGGGUAGAAUUCCAUGUGUAGCGGUGAAAUGCGUAGAGAUGUGGAGGAAUACCGGUGGCGAAGGCGGCCCCUGGGACAAAGACUGACGCUCAUGUGCGAAAGCGUGGGGAGCAAACAGGAUUAGAUACC
Molecule: ribosomal RNA, 453 nt
Filed under: uncultured bacterium
Lineage: Bacteria
Description: bacterial SSU rRNA
Rfam family: Bacterial small subunit ribosomal RNA
Source: RNAcentral